Molecule: ribosomal RNA, 253 nt
Filed under: uncultured bacterium
Lineage: Bacteria
Description: partial 16S ribosomal RNA
Rfam family: Bacterial small subunit ribosomal RNA
Source: RNAcentral
UACAGAGGUCCCAAGCGUUGUUCGGAUUCACUGGGCGUAAAGGGUGCGUAGGCGGUGAGGCAAGUCUGGUGUGAAAUCCCGGGGCUCAACCCCGGAACUGCACUGGAUACUGCUUUGCUAGAGUACUGGAGAGGGAACUGGAAUUUACGGUGUAGCAGUGAAAUGCGUAGAUAUCGUAAGGAAGACCAGCGGCGAAGGCGAGUUCCUGGACAGUUACUGACGCUGAGGCACGAAGGCCAGGGGAGCAAACGGG